AAAAUAGGGACUGUGUCGCUCACUUUGGUCUAUAGAUAUAGGAAGAUGUGGUAUGAGUGCCAAUGAAACAACUCUCCAUCCAAGUAAUAAUUUAUAAGAGUAAACCAUUAUAGGUCAAAGUACAUCCUUCAACACGGAGCUUUGGCUGACACCGAACAGCAAGCUAUACAGGGCUCAAAAAUCACUAGUUAACAACCAUUCAAACGGGAAAAAAGAGAAACACGUAUAACUACAUAAACAGACAACAACCACUCAACAUCAGAUUCCUGACAAAGGACAUAUUAUACAGAGGUAUUUGUCUUGUAAGUAAUUAUUUACUGUCGUAUUAAAUCAACGUAUAGUGGACUGGUCUGAUUCUGUUGAUGUCAUUUUUGACGCCCA
This 381-nucleotide long non-coding RNA is filed under the name Mytilus galloprovincialis (Mediterranean mussel). The record is from RNAcentral. Lineage: Eukaryota; Metazoa; Mollusca; Bivalvia; Mytilida; Mytilidae.